CCUUAAAAUUUCAUCUAUUACUAUAGUUAAAAAUUUGUAUGGCUGAUAAAAUAAUCAAACAACUACAUGUGGUGUGUCACGUGCAUUUAAUGCUGACAACCAAUUUUUAAUCGUAAAAAUGAAUUGAAUUUUUAAUA
This 137-nucleotide microRNA precursor is filed under the name Gossypium hirsutum (cotton). RNAcentral describes it as "MIR7502 microRNA precursor family". It matches the Rfam family "MIR7502 microRNA precursor family". Lineage: Eukaryota; Viridiplantae; Streptophyta; Magnoliopsida; Malvales; Malvaceae. The record is from Rfam by way of RNAcentral.